RNAcentral lists this ribosomal RNA (1467 nucleotides) under uncultured Tissierellia bacterium. RNAcentral's name for it is "bacterial SSU rRNA". It matches the Rfam family "Bacterial small subunit ribosomal RNA". The record is from RNAcentral. Lineage: Bacteria; Bacillati; Bacillota; Tissierellia.
AGAGUUUGAUCCUGGCUCAGGAUGAACGCUGGCGGCGUGCCUAACACAUGCAAGUCGAGCGAACCCAUUCGGGGGAGAGCGGCGGACGGGUGAGUAACGCGUGGGUAACCUACCCUGUACACACGGAUAACAUACCGAAAGGUUUACUAAUACGUGAUGACAUAUCAGACAGGCAUCUGUUUGAUAUCAAAGGUCAGCUGGUACAGGAUGGACCCGCGUCUGAUUAGCUAGUUGGUGAGAUAAAAGCUCACCAAGGCGACGAUCAGUAGCCGACCUGAGAGGGUGAUCGGCCACAUUGGAACUGAGACACGGUCCAAACUCCUACGGGAGGCAGCAGUGGGGAAUAUUGCACAAUGGGCGAAAGCCUGAUGCAGCAACGCCGCGUGAGUGAUGAAGGUUUUCGGAUCGUAAAACUCUGUCCUCAAGGAAGAUAAUGACGGUACUUGAGGAGGAAGCCCCGGCUAACUACGUGCCGGCAGCCGCGGUAAUACGUAGGGGGCUAGCGUUAUCCGGAUUUACUGGGCGUAAAGGGUGCGUAGGCGGUCUUUCAAGUCAGAAGUUAAAUUCUACGGCUCAACCGUAGCCAGCUUUUGAAACUGGAAGACUUGAGUGCAGGAGAGGAGAGUAGAAUUCCUAGUGUAGCGGUGAAAUGCGUAGAUAUUAGGAGGAAUACCAGUAGCGAAGGCGGCUCUCUGGACUGUAACUGACGCUGAGGCACGAAAGCGUGGGGAGCGAACAGGAUUAGAUACCCUGGUAGUCCACGCCGUAAACGAUGAGUACUAGGUGUCGGGGGUUACCCCCCUCGGUGCCGCAGCUAACGCAUUAAGUACUCCGCCUGGGGAGUACGCUCGCAAGAGUGAAACUCAAAGGAAUUGACGGGGACCCGCACAAGUAGCGGAGCAUGUGGUUUAAUUCGAAGCAACGCGAAGAACCUUACCUAAGCUUGACAUCCUGGUGACCUCUCCCUAAUCGGAGAUUUCCCUUCGGGGACACCAGUGACAGGUGGUGCAUGGUUGUCGUCAGCUCGUGUCGUGAGAUGUUGGGUUAAGUCCCGCAACGAGCGCAACCCUUGUCUUUAGUUGCCAGCAUUAAGUUGGGCACUCUAGAGAGACUGCCAGGGAUAACCUGGAGGAAGGUGGGGAUGACGUCAAAUCAUCAUGCCCCUUAUGCUUAGGGCUACACACGUGCUACAAUGGGUGGUACAGAGGGCUGCUAAACCGCAAGGUCAUGCCAAUCCCUUAAAGCCAUUCUCAGUUCGGAUUGUGGGCUGAAACUCGCCCACAUGAAGCUGGAGUUACUAGUAAUCGCAGAUCAGAAUGCUGCGGUGAAUGCGUUCCCGGGUCUUGUACACACCGCCCGUCACACCACGGAAGUUGGAAACACCCGAAGCCGAUUAUCUAACCCUCUGGGGGGAAGUCGUCGAAGGUGGCAUCAAUAACUGGGGUGAAGUCGUAACAAGGUAACCGU